AUUGAACGCUGGCGGCAUGCUUUACACAUGCAAGUCGAACGGUAACAGGCCUUCGGGUGCUGACGAGUGGCGAACGGGUGAGUAAUGCAUCGGAACGUGCCCAGAGGUGGGGGAUAACGCAGCGAAAGCUGUGCUAAUACCGCAUGUGAUCUGAGGAUGAAAGCGGGGGACCAAGCAGCAAUGUUUGGCCUCGCGCCUCUGGAGCGGCCGAUGUCAGAUUAGGUAGUUGGUGGGGUAAAGGCCUACCAAGCCGACGAUCUGUAGCUGGUCUGAGAGGACGACCAGCCACACUGGGACUGAGACACGGCCCAGACUCCUACGGGAGGCAGCAGUGGGGAAUUUUGGACAAUGGGCGCAAGCCUGAUCCAGCAAUGCCGCGCGCGGGAAGAAGGCCUUCGGGUUGUAAACCGCUUUUGUACGGAACGAAAAGGCUCUGGCUAAUACCUGGGGCUGAUGACGGUACCGUAAGAAUAAGCACCGGCUAACUACGUG
Molecule: ribosomal RNA, 492 nt
Filed under: uncultured bacterium
Lineage: Bacteria
Description: partial 16S ribosomal RNA
Rfam family: Bacterial small subunit ribosomal RNA
Source: RNAcentral